RNAcentral lists this ribosomal RNA (465 nucleotides) under uncultured bacterium. Its description in RNAcentral is "partial 16S ribosomal RNA". It matches the Rfam family "Bacterial small subunit ribosomal RNA", at positions 28 to 507 of the family's 1533-position model. The record is from RNAcentral.
GACGAACGCUGGCGGCGUGCUUAACACAUGCGAGUCGAACGGAAAGGCCCUGCUUGCAGGGUACUCGAGUGGCGAACGGGUGAGUAACACGUGGGUGAUCUGCCCUGCACUUCGGGAUAAGCCUGGGAAACUGGGUCUAAUACCGGAUAGGAGCCAUUUUUAGUGUGAUGGUUGGAAAGUUUUUUCGGUGUAGGAUGAGCUCGCGGCCUAUCAGCUUGUUGGUGGGGUAAUGGCCUACCAAGGCGGCGACGGGUAGCCGGCCUGAGAGGGUGGACGGCCACAUUGGGACUGAGAUACGGCCCAGACUCCUACGGGAGGCAGCAGUGGGGAAUAUUGCACAAUGGGCGCAAGCCUGAUGCAGCGACGCCGCGUGGGGGAUGACGGCCUUCGGGUUGUAAACUCCUUUCGCUAGGGACGAAGCUCUUUGUGACGGUACCUAGAUAAGAAGCACCGGCUAACUACGUG